Molecule: long non-coding RNA, 299 nt
Organism: Pan troglodytes (chimpanzee)
Lineage: Eukaryota; Metazoa; Chordata; Mammalia; Primates; Hominidae
Exons: 2
Source: RefSeq, a predicted model, not a curated record
AGGACCUUCGCGGCGUCUCAGCCUCUCUGGAGCUCACUGUUCCCAUCUGUAAGAGGGUGUGUGUGGGACCGUUCCGGCAGGGCUAUCCUGAGGAAACAUCAGAAGCAGUUAUAAAGUUGGGCCUCCCUCCUCCCUCCCCUCGAAAUGCCACUCAGAAUCCCAGUGCCAGGGGGAGCCCCCGCCCCCUCCCCCAUGGAUUCCUGACACCCCUUCCUCUUGUCCCAUCAAGUUUGUUUUUUGGCAACUCUGAUCCCAAAACAAAUUCCUCCUCACCCCGUAAUUAAAGGAAAUUGCACGUA